GAUAAUUUUCAAACACAAAUCAUUAGAGGAACCUUCACCCUCAAGAUACACUACAAAGAGGUUUUCUUGUGACCAAACCAGAUCUACAAUUCAAAUGAUCCUCUCUUAAAUAUCAUUCACAGACAAAAACAAAACAAAAUAAUCACAUGUACAAUAUAGAUGAGCAGGAGUAACAUUCAACAGCAGAAAAACCACAUAAAAAUAUAAUUUUCUAUUGAUUAAAACACAAAGGUGUUGGGUUUAGGUAUAUUAAUGCAGCUGAUGAAGAAAAGAGUGAAAGAAGAGAUAGCGAGAGGUGCAAAAAUUUGUAGAGAUCUACACUCAUUAAUUAUUUUUUUAGCAUCUGACGAUAUGGUAGUAUUAAAUUAGUCAAUAGUUUAUUAAAUUACUCAAUAUAGCUGUUUUUUUUAAACAUCAGUAUAGUUGUUUAUUCAAGUAUCUUCACCCUUCUAGGAUAGUGAAGAAGAAAAAAAUUGGUGACGAUUAAGGUUUGGAAAAGAGAGAAGCAAGGUCAAAGGUAAUGGGGUGGCCAAGGGAGGUCGUCCCCCCCCCCCCCCCCCAAUUUUUUUCUUAAAAAUUUUAUACUACUAAUUUUAUGCUAUUUCACUAGUAUUGUGAACGUGGUCCCCCGUCAUUAGCUCUUUUGUUGGAGUCCUCGAUUAUUUGAACAUUGAGCAUUUGUCAUUUAUGAAAAAAAAGAACCCUUUAAGUAUGUCAAUUAUAAAAGCGACAAUAGAAUAAAAUAAGAUAUUUUUUCUUCUCACUUCCAUUUUUUCUCCCUGCCAUUUGAAAAUACCAAAAUACUCGUAGAGGUACAUUGGAGAGGUGAACGAUAGUUAAGUGUCACUCGACCCACAACAAUUGCGAAAAUAGAAAAUUGGGGAAUUGAGAAGAGUAACUUUCAUAAACUAAAUCAAAUAAGUAAAUAUAAUUUUUCUCUCUUCUCCUAAUAUUAACUUUAAAUGUAGAUUUAUUAAAAAAAAAACAUAAAAUGUAGAUUAAAAUUCUUAUAUAUGUAGUGCAUUUGAGAUUUUUUGUUUUGUUUAACUAAAUAUCUUUUAGUGCUCGUUUGGUUACCCGUUUUGUGGGUACAAACGUGAGUCUGAAGCACUCAAAAGCAGUUUUUCUAUUUUUGUGGUGUUUGGGUAACUGCAAAAGUGAUUCAACCCCCAAACUCACGUUUACCAGAAGCUAAAAGUUGGAGCUUUUCAAAAGCAAUUUAGGAAUUCAACUUUUGGUGGCUGAUGUACUUUCCUAAAUUACCCAUGAUAUUCUUUUUCAUUUUUCGACAAAGUUUUAUAAAACACAGCAAAAGUGAUGAAUUUUUUGUUGCUCAAAUUCUUUCUCGACCCUGUUUCUGCCUUCAUGUUACCCAGCAAACUUCAACAUUCUCUCUCUUUCUUUGAGAAAAGAUGGAAUUGGGUUUGUAUUUAUUUAUUUUAUUUUAAUUUUCACAAAAUGAAAUUGGGUUUCAUAGGCCUAUUAGUUAAUUUCUCCUCUUAUGCAAGCCCAUUACAUUUUUUACAGAUUCUUUUUUAAGAAAAAACCAUUUGACAAAAUUUGUUAUUUUUUGUACAAAGAGAAAAUUUGUUAAUUAAUAUGUGUAAAAAUAUUUAUAUAGUAUACCUAAUUCAAAUUAAAGUAUCAAAUUAACAUGCAUUUUAUUUUAGAAGUUUUUCUAAUCUACAAAUAAUUAAAUUGAUAAUGCAACAUAAAUUUGAAUAAUUAUAUAAAAUAGAAACAAAAUAUAAUUUUAAAUAGAUAUUUAUACUCAUUUUGGUAAUUAUGCAUUCAAAUAACAAGAAUUCUAAGAAUCAAUUCACAUUCAAGUCACUUUUUUUCAAAAAUCAAUUUUAUCAAACUCAAUUCUAUCAAAAUCAAUUAUUUCCACCGCUGAACCAAACGCACACUUAAACAUGUCCCCCCUUAACCGUUGUUAAAUUUCUAGCUCGACCUGUGGAGGAAGAGAUGACCAAUUAUUUUUCACUCAAUUACUUUUAUAUAUGUACAUAUCUUUUUCUUAUUCAAGUUAAUUUUGUAUUUCAUAAAAGACAAAUUAUUCAAAUGAAGCUCGUUUCGAUUUAUGUGUGGAACAAUUUUGGCUAGAUUAAAAAAUGAAACGCAAGAAUUAAAAUUAAAAAUAGAAAUUUCAAAAGGAUAAAAAAUUCUAUAUAAAAAAAAGAGACUAAAAUUGGCAUUUUAAUGGGCUAAAUAAAUGUUCUCUACUUCUCAUAUGCAAGCAAGGAGAAAAAAAAAAAAAAAGUGGAGUUUCUCUAUGCAAAAUCGUAAACGCUUUAUUGGUGAGUUCUUCUCCUUUUCGUACUAUCAGUUCAAGUGUUUAUAUUCGCCAGAAUUUGAUUAUAUUCAUCACAAUCGAUUAUUUAUAUAUCUUUAACAGUUAACACUGAUACGAUUAUUGAAUUUGUAUGAAUUAGGAAAUGGCUUCAACAUCAGAAGCUAUGAAUGAAUUCGACGAAUCGAUGAAGAAACAAAUUGCAUUAAUUUUGAAGGUUGUGCUUUUGAAUAAAUCCUUGAAAGAGGAUAAUAUUCCUUGUGAAAUUGACCAGGUAGUUUACUUAAUCAAGCUUCAUUUUGUUAUUAUCUUCACUAUUCUUCUGAAUUUUGUAACUAAUGAUGAAUGAUAUUUGGUUAGGGUUUGUUUUUGGGUUCAGUUGGUUCUGCUACGAACAAGGUUGGUUUAAAAAAUGUGAAUGUUACUCACAUUUUGACUGUGGCUGGGAAACUUGCACCUGCACAUCCUGCCGAUUUCGUCUAUAAAGUUAUAGAUGGUAUGUUUCUUUUAUUAUUACUUAUUGCACUCACACGGUCACCAUACAUGACACUGACACAUUGACACUAGUAAAAAUUUGAGAAAAUGAAUUAACUGAACGUAAUCACAUAUCCAAUGUGGUGUCGGUGACACGCCUUUAAUCAGGGAUGUCGGUGUUACAUAGAUGAUCUGGAACUGAUUUUGACAAUGAUGCGGUUUUAUUCUUUUUGAUUUUGGUCUUUCGGAGCUGUUGGUUUUGUGGCUAUCAAAGUAAUGCAAGUGAAUUCACUAUAUAAUGGACUAAACAAAUGGAUAGGGUGUGUUUGGAAAUACAUAUCUUCAUCAAUAAUGUUACAAUAUUAGUCAAAAUAUAAGGUUGAGGUUACCUAUUUUUAUUAGUAAGAUGAUUUGGAUGUUAACUUUUGUUACCUUAUUGAGGUUCUCAGUUUCCAUGUUUAUGGAUUAUUUGAGUUGUAUUGCAUUUAAUGUAAGGUUUAUUUAAAGAAAUAAUGUUAAAAUAGGGCAAAAGGAAGGAAGUGGUGGUAGGGUGGGUUUUACAGAACACCGAUUAGGACAGGGUCGGGUACCUAAUUUUUAUUUUGGUGACAAUGGAGUGGGUUUUGGGAGGCGGGUUCAGGUGGAGAGCAAAACCUUGACUCCAUGACCAUUGCGUGCUUUGAUCUAUAAAAGUUUAGCAUUUUCUUUGCAAUUAUGAAAAAGCGUGCUUUGAUCUUUGAAAGUUUAGCAUGUGUUGAGAUUGUUCCAUUACUCGACAUUUUCAAUAGGAGAGAAAUUGAUGUAAUAUUUUUUUUAGUUAUUCAUCUCUCUCUCUCUCUCUCCCUCCUACUAGAUGUGUCGAGUACUAGAGAGAGGAUCUCAAUCUGUUUAGCAUGCAGUUGCUGUCAAAAAAUUUCCUUCUAUCUUAGAAAUUGUAUUUUGUUAUAAUAGAUGUUAUCAUCUCAGAAUGUCAGUUCCUUUUUAACCGACUCGUGUAAUAUUGCGAUCAAUUAAAUGAGACUGCACAACAUUUCAGGUCCAUGUUGCUUGUCAUUAAGGUUGAUUAUGAUUAUAUUGAUUACACUCUAAUUUUGUCUUAAGUUUUUUAGGCAUCUAGUACACAAUAUCCAUACUAAAGUUACACUUUUGUUGGAAAAUUGAGAAGUUGCUGACAAAGAGGAUACCAACUUAAAACAACACUUCGAAGAGUGUUUUGAUUUUAUUGAUGAAGCUAAAAGUAAUGGUGGAAGUGUUUUGGUUCAUUGUUAUGCUGGAAGAUCGAGGAGGUAAGUUUCGCUGUUUAUAUCUUUCUCUCUUGCUUACAUAGGAUCAUUUCUUGUUCAUUGUACAGACUAUUAUUUUACUUUAGACAAGUGUCAAUAAGUUGAAAUCUGUUUUAUGUCUCAAUCAUCUCAGGCAUUUUUGUUUUGUUUUGGUUUAAAUUUCUGGAAUGUUGUUUCUCAAGCAAAAACUGGGAGCAGCACAUUGCAUAUUUGAAUUUCAAUGUUUCUUAAAAUCCUUACAUUUUUAUUUUGUUAUCAUUGUCUUUUAUUAUUCAAUAGCAGAUAUUAUGUUUUGCUUAUAAAGUUGGGAAAAUGUCAUGGAAGCUUAUAGCUUUUUAAUUAUGUCUUUAGUUCAAUGAUACUAUCUCUUGAAAUCCAUUGUAAUAAUGUUCUGAGUAUGGCCAUAUAUAUGUGAUGCCAUGUGGAAUUUGAGGAUAUGAUUGUUGAGCUAAAUGUCAAAUUGUUUCAUAUAUGGAAAAUGACAAACCUUGUUGAUGCUUUGAAAAUUACAGAUAUGAUUUUUUUUUUGUUUUCCCUGUCAUUAUUGUUUUCUUUUCCAGAAAUCUGCUUUCAUGUCGAUCUUUUCCGUUUGAACUUUGACAUAUUAAACAUUUGAACUGACAAUUGAAGUGUGCAUGCUUCUCAAUGAAAUAGACUAAAAAUGCUUUAUAGUAUGAAUUGAGAUGCCAUCGAUUUUUUUAAUAUGUAGAAUGGAAAGUUAGGGAUGUAAGCUUGAGAUUCAUGAAUGAUGAUUAUGUCCUUGUUUACUAUUGGCCUGUCACUUAUAUUCUGCACAAAGUUCAUGCAGCAUUUUACUACCUCCUUUUUUAAUGGUCAUAUUGGAACUAAGAAUCUUGGUAUUCAUAUUGUUCAUUUGGCUAUUUUCUUUUUCAUUAGAUUAACUGGAAAAACUUGGUUCUAAUUUAUUUCCACCUUCUAGUGUGACUAUCAUUGUGGCAUAUCUGAUGAAGUCUCGGGGAAUGAGCUUAUCUGAAGCUCUGCAACAUGUAAAAUGCAAAAGACCACAAGCAACUCCAAAUCGUGGUUUCAUUCGUCAGCUGGAAGACUUUGAGAAAUCUCUUCAAGGUUAAAACUGUAUUAAUCUUAAAUAUAAUUAAACAUCAACAUGCCAAUAUAUAUAUAUAUAUAUAUAUGGGGUUUGCUAGAACACACCCACUAAUUUUUAUGUGGGAGUGUUUUAGCAAAGCUACACCUUAAGGUGUAUUUAACCACUUUUUAGUUAUUAAAUUGCUAAAAUACUCCUUCUAAAAAAUAAGUGGGUGUAUUCUAGCAAAUGCCUAUAGGAUUUGCUAGAACACACCCACUUGUUUUUUUAGAAGGUGUGUUAAAACAACAUACACCUUAAGGUGUAUUUAUUAACUUUUUAGUUAUAACUUACUAAAACACUCCCACAUAAAAACUAGUGGGUGUGUUCUAGCAAAUCCCUAUAUAUAUAUAUAUAUAUAAGAUACAUUUAGAUCUUAUAUAGAUAUUAAAUGGAUACACCUCUAUAGCCAUGAAGAUACAUUUACGAUUUACAUUUAGCACAUGUAAGAGCUUGUGUAAAAUAUAAGGAGUCACUUCACUUUACAUAAAAGCUUUUAUAAUGCUUAUUGCUUAAACUGAAAGAAAAUUGACUUGUAUAUAAUAUAGUAAUCUAGCAGAGUGUGCAUGGUAAAGGAAGUAUAAAGGGUUUUAUAAUUAUCCACUAAACAUCAUUGUUACCAUUGUCAUACAAUUUUUGCAUAAAGAAUGAUACAAUCACAUAAGAGUUUGACUAACGAUCAUGUCUUAUAAGCAUAUAAGCUAUAUUCGUGUGUGUAUGUGUGUGUCUCUAUUUCAUUAUGAUCUUUAUCAGAUAUUUAAGCAUAUGUGCUCAUUUUUCUGUGAAACUUUGAUUUGAACAUAUCUCUUUCCUUUAUUUUAUAUUUUUUGUAAUAUCUAAAUUUUAAUGCAUGACAUUAUGUAUAUGAAAUAUUAAUGCAAUUCUGUCAAAUUGGAUCUUCCUGGGUUUUUCAAAUGGUAGAUCUAUGUUUUAAUUUAUAUAUACCUUCGCUGACUUUAAAAAUACCGCUGUUCUCUUUAUAUGGUUUUCCCCCUUCAUUUUCUUCACUAAUGGACUCCACAUUUCUUUUGUUCUUCAUAUAGUUUUAUGAACACUGAUUCAAAUUCAAACUAAAAGUAGUUUGUGUGAACAUAUCAUUGAUUGUAUCUAGUUUGUUUUUGUGAAGAUAUCGAAGUGUCUGGAUAGAGAACAUGAUGGUGAUCAGACAAGGUAGUGUAGAUGAUUAGCGUGACUCUGGCAAUCAUGUGAAGACAAGGCAGCAUCAGUUAUGGAUUGGCACUGAAACUUCAUCCUCAGGUGCGGAAGUCCCAGUUUAUAACAACUAUGAAUUGCUACUAUGCAUACCAGCCUAUUUCAUGAAAUGUUGAAUUCGAUCUGUCUUCUCUCAUUCCAUGUUUCUGUAGUGUUUAGGAAAAAUGGCCUGUUAGGAAAAAUUAACUUUGUUAGAGGGGAUAUACUUCUCCAGAAACAUUUACGAAAACCAAAAUAUUAAAAUAAUUGCAACGAGUACUCAAUUUUUAAAUAGCAGCUUUUGUUUGAGAGUAUUCUUGAGCUUUUUGGAACAUUUUUCUGUUUUAUUUUCAAGGGAUGCACCUAAUAGUACUUGAGUUUUUGAAGUGGAUAUUGUUCAGUAUAUCCAAGCUGAACCCAAUUAGGCAAGUCCAAUAUCGGAUUGCCCACACUCGUUGUUGACCCAAACUGAUAAAAGAAAGGGUAAAUAUCAUCUCCUCUCCACGACUGGGAGCUACCGUGCACACUCUGAUUAAAACCUGUGAGCACAUGAUGAGAAGAAAUUACCACCUCUUGUCUACCCAUGGGCAACACCAAAGGUUCCAACCAGGAAAGACCCGUGAUGGUCACUUCCACCCACACGAUGAUUGAAUGAAAGGAGAAUUGGCCCAUUAUCCCGAGUAAUAUAACUCAGAGAGGAGGCAAAUAAUAGCUACAAAUAGGACACGUGUAGAUGUUCAUAGGCAUUCCGCAUUUUAGACUAUCAAAUGUAGAGAAUUUUUGUAACCUAAUAAAUUUUGUUGUCUUGUAUUCGAAUGUUAUUGUCUUGGGUUUAGUUCUCAUUCUUAGUGCAAUGACAUUUGAGAGCUUUUUUCACCCAUGGUUCUUAAAAAACGGUCUUGUCCUGCUCAUGGAAUUUCCCUAGUUGAGACCCCAGUACCUCACACCCAAAUGAUGAGAGUUGCCACCACUUCCUUUGCCCACGAGCAAGACAAUUUAAUUAAAGGAGAAACUAUCCACUAUACCAAGUAACGUAAUUUAGAGGAGGUAAAUGAAGGUUAUCAAUAAGACGAUUGUAGACGUUCAUAAGCACUAGACAUUUUAGAUCACCAAAGAGAUUUCUUUUAACUUGAUAAAUUUUAGUCUCUUGUAUUCAAAUGUUGUUGUCUUGGCGGGCUUAGUCUCCGUCUUAGUGCAAUAACAUAUCACACUGGGGAAAAUAAUGAAAAUUGAAAUGCCAUAAACGAAUACUUGAGGUCUAAUAAUUACAUUUCAAAUCAUCUAUUUCUUUACCCAAAAAUCAUCUAACUUAGGAGGGUCAUCAAGUCUAGAGUUUAAUAUGUUCGCUCUUACUCUUGAUAAGUUAUUUACGUCGGAAUAAGAAUGAAUUUAUUUUUUCUGGAAAAAAGUGGACUGGUCAUAAUGUGGUUAAUACCAUCCAUGGAGGCAUGGGUGCAGAUUGCGAGAUCUCUCAAAGGUCCUCGUCCAUCUGACAAUGUUUAAGUUGAAUUGUGACAUCGUUUUGUUCAGGGAGAUAUGUGGGCUGUGGCCUGUGGCCUGUGGGGGUAUCCGUUGAGAUUGUAGGCAAAUUUGUUUUGUUUAUACUAAGAGAUUAUGCUGCUAUAGCCUAUAAGGGUUUUAGAAAGCAAAGUUGAUGAGCCUCUUCCAUGGCCUAAGUCUGGUCCUUAGAAUAGCAAAAUUACGGAGUCACUGAAGUCGGAAUCCUUGGUGACCAUUUGUCCAAUCUCCAAAAGAUGCGUUCCAUUACCAUUUGCAUGCAUAUUCAUGUUAAAUUUUAUCGAAGGGAUUCAAAGCCUCUUGCAUGAUAGCAAAUCAAUAUUGUGGAAAUAAUUUAGUUCGAAAGUUCGAGUGCUUCCAACGGUGCAACCAUUAUAAAUGGUUUAAGUGGAUUUUUUUUUCAUAAUGUCACAUUACAUUUAUUUUAUUAUUUUUUGUUUUAAUGGUACAACCUUAAGAAGUCACGAUAACUCUCACAGAAUUAUCUAUCAAAAUUCAAUAGAAUACAAAAUAAUUUAAAAAUAAAGCUGGGUAGCACAGGACAUCAUGCUAACCCGGCCACCCAACCCAACAAGUUCUAUGUUUGCAUACUUUUAAAAAUUAAUUUCUCUAACAUAAUUUCUAAUUUGAAUUUUUUUUUUUUUUUAUCACGUUUCACACGACUCUUUCUUUAUUAAGAUGCAGAAACACCUUAAUUACAUCAUCACUUUGUCAUUGUGACAUACUUGUUUUUGAUUUUUCACAUUCUAACAUAACAUGUUGAAUUGGAGUUGAUCCCUGGUCCAAAUGUUGUCUUGUCCCCUAUCAAAUCACUCAAAAGAGAUGUGUCCGUUUCUAUCUUUUACUUUUGUUCCCUUUCGAUUUAUGUUGAUAUGAAAUGUUUCAUUCCUCGGUAAAUCAGGUGAAUAAUAAUAUGGAUUUAGUUUAUAUACAUCCACCAAUAGUAUAAACUUUAUAAAAAAAAUAAUAGUGUACACUUUAUAAACUUUCUAACCAUGUAUAUUUCAAGAUAUGUUAUUUGAACAACCAUUUAUAGAAUAACUCUAUAAAAAAGGUAAAUAUUGACACAAAAAUUAAAGUAAUAAAUAGAGAAAGUAAAAAUAAAAUAGUAUCAGAGAAAAUUGUCACAAAAUAGCUGUAUAAAUAUCAUUUCUCAUUUCAUAUAUAUGAUGUUAUUUUUAAAACAUGGGAUCAAAACUUCAGUUUGUUUUCUUAAAUUGGAGGCCAAAAAAAGCUAAAAAAAUUAUAUAACUCUUUUCUUUUUGUUGAAAAAAAAUUACCAGUGUAACUCUAGUAAUUAAGAAAGAGACUUAUGCAAAGGAUAAUUUUUUUUUCAAGGAAUAAACUUAUAACUUUUCAUUAGAUAUCAAUUAUGUAAUACAUGAUGGUACAUCAAUAAAGACAUGAAGGAUAGCUCGAAAUGUGGCUAUCCAUGCUAAAUCAUGAGUGACCUUAUUUGUUUGUUGUCUAAUAAACUCGCUAUGAGAGUUUUGAAAAAAAUAAAUUACAACAGUGUUUGCAGACCUCCAUAAUAGCCUCAAACUCCAUUAUAUCUAUGCUACCUCUCUUAAAGUAGUCGGCAACCUUCUUCAUAUCCACCUCAAAGUCUAACAUUUGCCAGUUGUAAUUCUUCGAUGCAAUAACAUGAUAUUGCCCCAUCGCCUACCUCGUAUCCACUGAACAAACUCGUGAAAACCAUUAAGUUUUAGCAAGAACAUACACACUCGUGUCAUCGCGAAUGCACAUACUGGUGCCUACUCUGUUGCAAAGGCAUAUUGUUUUCAUUCAACACGAAUUCAUAUCCUUUAUAGAUCAACCAAGAGAAUGCAAAGCUAUAUUUAGGAAUAAAGACCAAGGGAAUUCAUAUCUUUUUUUAUAUCUUUUUUAUGCAAAGGAUAACUGUUUUCAUUCAAAAUGAAUUCAUAUCUUUUUUGGAUCAACCAAGAGAACGCAAAGCCAUAUUUUGGAUUGGAGACAAUAAUCUAUGUUUCCAUCAGGCUACGACAAUCCUUUCUACUUGAAUGCAUUAUGACAUUAUUUCUUUUUCUUUUACGGUUAUUAAAAAAAUAUCAAGCAUGCUUUAAUCCUUCAAAAUUAAGUCCUUUAUCAUGAGAGUUUGUAUGCAGAUAUGUGACAAAUUCAUCUAUCUUAAUUAUCAUCAAAUUCAUCAACUAUAAUUAAUAUUCACUUAACAUUGCACUUUGUUUUUUACAUGUUGUAGAUAAUCCAAAAAUUGAAAUUUACAGUCUGACAAUCAAUUAGAUGCAGAUGUGUUAUGAAGAGAGACUCACUUAGAGUACACAUACUGUUAUUUCCACUUUUAUGUAAUUCUGUUAAAAUCUCUAGGUUCCUGUGGUUCUUGCAUAUAUGUUUGUUUCUGUUCCCAAUUUAUGAUUAAUAUAUUUGAAGUUGUAAUGCUGCAAUAUUAAUAUAAUAUAUUUUUUUUCUCCACAUCUUCAUUCCAUAUUUCUUUAGUAACAUCCAAUCCAAAUAUAUUAAGAUCUUAACAGUCUUAUGUAGGAAAUUAUUCCUUCCUACUUGUUCAUUUUUAUUUCCUGUUUCAGUUUUUUUUUUUUUUUGGUAAAGGAAAAGUAAAACUAGCUUAUCAUAAUUUUCCAUUUAUGACUCUUGCUAUAUAAGAAAGGGUAAAAACUACUAUAAUUUUAAGAAAUUAUGUAUUUUAUAAAGAAUAAAGAAUAAAAAGUUGAGCCGAAAGCCAAAACUAGUCGCCCUUUAUCUCUUCACCAUAAUAUGAAAGAAACUGUUGGGUAGCACUCUCACAUUCCACACCAUUUUCUAUUUUUCUCCUUGGAACAUGUUAUCAUUAUUUUAUUUUAUUUUGUCAAAAAUAUGUUAUCAUUCUUGAGUACAAAAGUUAAUAACCCUUGCCUAAAUUAUUACAUGACAUGGACCCAUUGUUGGAAAAUGGAUGGAUCCAGCCAUACCUAUCCAUCUCACUCCAACACUCUGACCACGAUGCUGUCCCAUUCUUUGUAAAGAACUUCGUCUUUUUUUUCAUAUGCUUACACGUGAUUUAAUAAUAUAAAUUAUGAAUAGUGCACAAUCAUUGAAUUGAUUUGUUGAGGCGUGGGUCUUUUGAAAGAACAUUGUCUAUAUAAGAAAUAAGACCAAGGUCAAUAAAGAGCCCCCUUAAAAAUAAUUUUGAUUUCCAACCAUUUUUAAAAACCGAAUUUAGAAAUUUAUUUUGUCAAGCAAUCGUAGAUUAUUUGAGUCAUUUGAAAAAAGCGUCAAAAGUUUGAUUGCUAAUUGUAAAUACUCCUAUAUCAUUAUUCAAAAAAGUGAAAACUAAUUAUAUAUUUGUAAUACUGUAUACAUUUUUUUAUGAUAAAUAAUAUAAAGAAGUACGUAUACAUUUUAGUUCAUAAAAAAUAUAUUAGAUGAAUACAAUGAUUAAUUUUUCUAAUUGGAUUUAAAUUCUAAUUGUAAUUAUCUACAACAUUCUAUCCGAAACUACUUGAUGUGAACUGUGAAAACAAAAUUUGCGGUUACAUAAAAAACAAACUAGAUUUAUAAAGUUAGACCGAGUUGUACUGAAGUUGAAUUGAAAUGUCACAUUGCUUAGAUUUUUAAGUUGUUGGAUGUAUUAAUAUAUUUGAACACCUUCAUAUUUUGAGUUAGUUUUUGAAAUUAUUGAGAGAAAAUUUUCACAAUAGCAAAAUUACAUUCACAUAAGCAAAAUCAAACAUGAAAACAACUUACAAUCUCAUACAAUGUUUGUAGAGGCAAAAUUAUAAACUCUCAAUUAUAAUUUUUGCACGAAAGAAUUGAAAAACCUUUCAUAACAUACAAUUACCUAAAACUCCAAUGAAUCCAAAGACUCAAGUUGCAAUGAAGAAAAACUCAAACCAACUUCUAUAUUUAUAAUAACUUUAUAUCUCUUUUUUCUUUUCACUACUCGAUUUGAAAUUUGGAUGAAGACUCACUUAGACACAACACUAAUUACAUCCAAACUCAUUUAACAUGCUAUCAAAGCAAAUUAAGGAUCACAAUAUGGGAAUUUGACUUAGAACCCACACUAUACAUAACGGUGGAUAUUAAAAUUUUAUUAGAGUCUCACAUUACUCAGGUUCAGAGACGGUUGAAUACAUACAUGUAUUUAAAUACCUUUAUUCUUUGAGUUGAUUUUUACAAUGAGAUUCAUGUUUAUUUAACAAGUUAUACGGUUGUUUCAAAGUUUAAAGUUCCAAAUCUCUUCCUCAAAACGAAAAUGUUUAAAAUCUCAAUUAUUUAAGUUCAAAUUCCCCACUGUGCCCUCAUGGAACCCGCGAAAUAUAGUUUGAGACUUAGUAAGUGAGUUGAAAUUUUGGCAAUUGAAUUUCCAUCAUCAUCAAGCAAUUUGGUACCAGUGUCGUUUUCAUUUUUCAUAGCUAUAACUUCUGAGUGGGAUUAGGAUCAUUUGAUGACUAUAAGUUCAUUGAUUAACAUUUCCCUGCCGUUCCUUCCAAAAUAAAAAAAAAACAUUUCCCCGCCGUAGUUAGCAAUACAUUCAAUUAUCCCUAAACAUUGAACUUAUAAGACUUUUGAACGACAUUUUUUGUUUGUCGUAUACUGGCGGUUAUCAACAACUUCGGCAAAAUUUAUUAAAAAACUUGAUCACUGCUCAAAACGAACAGAGAGACCGGUAUCAGAUAUUACAGAAUGAAUGCGUCGUAUAUAGGCGGAACACCUAAAAUCAACACCAUAAAAGACAUUAAACACCCAUCACCUAACCAAGAUCUACCUUAACACCUAAAGAGAACAACAAUCACCAAAACCAACUUCACCACCUAAAUCAAACUUCAUCAUUAAACGGCAACUGAAAACGAAAUCCAUAAACCCCUUUCGCUCGCUGCUCACCCCAAAAAACAUCCCUCUAAAUCAGACAACCUCUUCUCAUCACCUAAACUGAGCCGUAUUCAAAAAUGUUCUAUUCCAACGCUUAGUCAGCUUCCACCACCUCUCUAUCCCUGAUCCACCAAAGAAAACAUUAUAAUUCAAUGUUCGAUUAUUCCAAUAUCAUCCAUCUUAUCUCUUAUCUAUUACAGAUUUGUGUACUAUCAAAAAAUGUAUGGAGGAUUACUUAAAGUCAACUCGUUGGUUCUUGUGAUUCAACUUUGAAUUUCCACUUUGAUGUCUGGUAGUAUUAAUUUUUUUAAUCGUACUUCGUCUUGGUUGCCUAUUUAAUUAUUUCAUGACUCUAUUUGUAUAAAACAAUGCCCAGUAGUACUAGUUUUACUAUUUUUGCAAGUUUUUCAUGUGCACCUCACGUAUUGAAAUAUAAAAAAAAAAAAAAAAUUGAGAAAUCAAUAUUCGAUAUACAUUUUUUUCUUCUCCUAUGUCAAAUCAAACAAAAAAGAGAAAAAAAUGUAUUUUUUUUCUUUUCUUUAACGUUCACUUCUACCAACAACUAAAAAUUCAUCAACUCUCUAUUAUCUCUUUCUUCUUUUCAUUCGUUUGUGUGUCUUUCCUCUGACUUUUUUUCAUAUGCCAAACGAAGCAUGCAUGUACAUGUACUAUUGGUGUGGAGGUGCCAAGCUAUAGUAGAUGGGGAUUCAAUCUCCAAUUCAAUGUGGUCAAAAGUAGAGGGCCCCGUUAUAUAUGUAUGGAAAAGAACAACCUAUCAAUAUGAGCACCAGUAUCUUCCAUUAUUAAUUUCUUUCUCCAUUAGCUACAUACCUUGACUUACUAGAACCUUCAAUUCACCAGAAAAGAAAAACUCACUGUUAAUUCAAACAUGCAUUCACCAAGUUAAAGUGAAAUUUGGGAUGAUCGUAGUUAGUUUGGUUGAGAAACAAUAAUAUUGGAUCGUUAGCAGACGUGUGCCUAAUCACAUUAACUGGUCUCCCUCUCUCUAUCUCUCUCAAACAGCACCACUUGUCUUUUUGCGUAAGCAAAUAUUAUAAGGAUCUAGGUGUUUAGAGGCAGUUGAGGAAAGAAGCCGUUAGGGAGGCACUUUGCAUUUUCCUCUUUCUACUCUAGGCAAUUUUAGGCGGUUGCUAUAUAAUUAAAUGGGGAUCUUCGAAGCACAGACACAAACAAAUGUCGAACACGAAAAUAAAACGAACACUAAUUCAAUGGGAAGUCACUAUGCACUAAGGGAGGCACUAUGCAUUUACCUAUUUUAAAAUAUUAAUUCUUUUAUCUUUCAAGCAGGUUAGAGGUCAGAGCUCGCACACUUUAAAUAUGAAAAGUCUAAGAUUUGAACUAUAACCUAUGCAUAUAUUAUAUAAUAUUUUUACCGAUUGACUUAAGUUAUUUUUUAAACAUGAAUUAAUUCAAUGUAAAGAUGUUGGACAACAAGAACUUUUUUAUUCAAAGUAAAAUGUCGAUGCUACAAAGGAAUAGAUCUAAUCAGAACCCCACAUUCUUCAUAUUCGGUCACAAGAGAAGGAAACUAUGAUUAGAUAAAUGGAUGGAGGAGAUGCACCUUAUCAUAAUGUCACCUAUCCCAUCCAGAUCAAACCACAUGAUUUUUUUUUUUUUUUUGUCAAGUAGCCUAGUGGCUAGAGCUCACACAAUUAAAUUGUGGAGAAGUGGAGUGUCUGGGGUUCGAACCCCAGCCCCUGCAUAUAAUAUGCAAUAUCCCUACCAACUGAGCUAAGCUCACGGGGAUAACCACAUGAUUAUUAUUAGUAAAGAAAUGAUAUUUGUAUAUAUUUUAUGACAACUUUCUCUUUCAUAUUUAUAUUAUGUUUUUAUUUAUCUCUAUUGUUUUGAUUUUCAUAUCAAUGCUUAAUUAUUCUUUGUAAAUCUAUAAUCAACCAAACAGGGUGAGGUUUAACAUGGAAAAGGGAAGUUGUUUCCCAUGAUGGGAAAGUUGAUUUUAACCGUUUGAUUAAAUAAAGAGUACACUGUUAUCAUGUUCUCACAACACUAAAUUAUUUUGACACUCUUCUCCAACAAUUCUCUCUCCUCCGUGUCUCCCUCACCAACCAGUACCACAACCAGCAACUUCACAAUGUAUUCAUCUUCCAUUUCCAGAUCUUGGUCUCUGUUUAAUUUUAACCUCUAAGUUCAAUUUGAGCCCCUCUUGAAUCAGAAUAAAUCCAUUACAAAGAAAACCUUCAAUAAACUGAGACCACUUGAUGUUGUUCGGAGAACAAACACACUACUUGGAUCUCUAUCUCAUCUUUCGUUGCUUCCUCUUCAACCUCCUCAUAUGCUUCUUCUUCUUCCACUUGGCACACAUGGUUGUUGAAAACGUAUGAGAAUUUGAUGAGAGAAAUCCAUAUUCCAUUAUUAUUUUUAUUAUUAUCAAUAAUUUGUGGGUUUUUGUUAGCAAAAUUUACAGCAACCUCUCGAAUUUGUUGUGGUAUAAGUGAAUUGUUAGAAACUGCAUUGAUAUCCAAAUUGAAAUAAAUUUUUAUUUGCAGCAACCUCUUGAAUUAGUUGCAGAUGAUAAGGUUUUUAUUUGAUCAGUGGCAACAUCAUGAUGAUCCAUGUUCAGUAUAGUAGCUACUAGCUAGUUACAUUCAUAUAAUAAUAAAUUUUUAUGUGGGUAGCUAAUUUCAAUUAAUAUUGGAGAAUUCAUUGUGUUGUGCUUGCCUAUAAAUAAACACCAAAUGAUGAUGGCUCGUGUGUGAAUAACUUGGAUUUUGAAUUUGAAUUGAAUGAAGGUCUUAGCUCUAAACGUGUUUAUCAAAGUGAGUUAAGCAACAUUAAACAACAGAAUGAAUCAAUGGGUUUUAAAAAAUUGGGUUUUGAGAUCUGGUCGCACAAUAAAAGUGAGAAAACCGGAUCUGAGACAAGUGUGCGUCUCUUUAAUCUAAUGGUUAAAAUUUUUUUUCUUAUCAUAAAAAAUAACUUCUCUUUUCCAUACUAAACCUCACCAUCAAACAGUUGUUCAAAUAAUACAUCACUUAAUAUAAUUACCACCUUUGAACAGAACAGAAUGGCAUAAUAAGUGGGUCCCCUGUCACUCCUCUCUCAUUUGUUUAUAGGUACUACUACAUAGCAUAUAAAAAAUCUGGAGAGAUACUCUGUGCUGAAAAGACAAUACACUUCCUUGGUGAAGUGUCAACGCCGUUAGAUUUUCAAAAUGUAAUAAAAGUAGUUAACUUGUCUUUGUCAAACUAGUUAACCUCAUCCCCCCACACACCUUCUCGCUCUUCACUCACUUGCCAUUGCCACUUGCAAGUUAGGAAACUGACAGCUUUAAUUUUACAUUUCUGCAUUACUUCCUCCCUUUUUAACAAAAUUUCUAAAUUAGAGUCCCACAUAGAUUAGUUGAUGAGUUAAAUGAAGUUGAAAGAGCUUGAAGAAAGUCCAAUAUUCCAUACCAAAAACUAACAUUGUUUAUAAAAAAAUCAAAUUAAAUAAUAUUCUCUCCUGUCCUUAUUAUAUAAAAAAUAAUUUAUUUUUCAAAUUCAUUGUGUAAGUAAUGUAUCUAAUCUAAAUAUACUAAUUAUUCAAUGAAUCUAAAAAAAUCAAUUGUUUCUUAUUGGAGGGAGUAAUUAAAUAAACUUUACUAAGCUUAAAACAGGAACCCAGAUAUUUUUUGUGAACAUUAUGGUUCCAGUUACGGAAUUUUCGGAAUAAUAUAUUUACUAAAGCAUUGAGUUAGCCCAGUCUCAGAUGGAUCAACAGUCAACUCUUCAAUUUGAUGUGUUAUUAUGUGGCUAACAUCUAAUCCGCACCUAUAAAAAUUCCACAGUUAUUGCCAUCAGCUGUUGCACAACAUUCAUUUGUAGCAACAGUAAUUGCCAGAAUGAUUCUUCUUUAGAUGGAUCAUAUCUACACUGUUUUACCUAAUUUUAUUUUUGAUAAACAUCCACCACAAGAUGAAUUAUGUGACUAUGAUGCAUAUGACAGUCUAUUUCACUUUAAUGACUCUUAUUCAAUACAAGUACUAUAUACUAUAAGUAAUACCGUAAUUGAUAGGAAUUAAUAAUAACCUUAAAAUUAGAAAAUGACAUAUACAUACAAUCAUUUUUUUUCUAGAAGAAUUAAUAAUAAUUAAAAGUUUUAACCAGAAUGUGUUUGAAAACCACCGUUCGGGUUUGAUUUGGAUUGGUAAAUUGAAAUCAUCUCCUCCAUUAGUAGAUGAAAUAGUAGAGAGAUCAAAAUGGGUGGGUCCAACACAAAAUGGCUGAAGAUAAAUCACUGUGGGUGGCCACCGCAUCACCUCACACAAAUGGAGACAGGAAAUAAUGUCUACAGAUAAGAUGAGAUACCGGAAGAUAAGACAACAAUAAUUUAAUACUACUAGAGACACUCAUUGAGUAAAAAGAUAACAUUGAAAUUUCCAAGACUAAGCUGGGAAUUUCUUUCAUCCCAUUCUCAAUAACAUUCAUUUCCUUCUUAAUUCUGUUUAUUACUAUUCCCAAAAUAUAAACACAUAUAAACAUAUUUUUUUUAUAUAUUAUAGUACUACCCAAGAACAUAAUUAACAUAGUAAAUAUCAUAAUAUAUUUCUAUAAACUACUCCUCUAUGGUAAUUAGAAACCCCCCCAAUAAGAUGAAAAGGGGAAAACAAAGAAAAUUGAAAACAGAACUAAAAAACUCAUGUUUCAUUGGGUAUAAAUAUAUUGCAUAAAAUUAGAGAGGGUAGGUACUAUAGUUGUUGAACAAUCACCAUCACCAUGAACAUUGUUUGUUUGAUGAAUCACAUGACAUUGCAGCUGGAAGUGUUCUCAUCACUGAAAGCAUGUGAGUAAGGAUCUGGAGGAGGAUAAGGGUAAGGAGGAUACAUGUAAUUCACCUCAGGAGGUGGCCUUGCAUACAUCAUUGGCUGCUGAAAUCUUUGAUCAUUUUCCACCAUUGCAGCACGUUGUUGGUUCAUCAUUGCAGCAGCCAUUAAUUGUUGCUGUUGUUGUUGUUGUUGCUGCUGCUGCUGAUGUUGCUGUUGUUGUUGUUGAUAAGGAUUCCCCUGCAUCAUUUCCGGGCCUGGACCACCACCACCACCACCUUGAAAGUAUCCUCCUCCGCCUGCCGGUAGACCUUGAACAGCAGGAAUGUUACCACCCAUUCGGUUCAUAGGCAUGGGACCCAUUGGCCCCAUGUUAUUUCCUCCACCACCCAUACCAGGAUGAGAUUGACCACCACCUCCACCACCCAUCAUUUUAUGAAAUCCAUUGUUCAUAGCUUGAACAUUACCACCACCACCAGCAACUGGUAUCGACAUACCCUUCUUACCCCCAUCGUUAUUUUGAUUAUUACUAUUAUUCCCUCCGUUCUUGUUUCCACCACCACCACCGUUUUUAGCUUCUGGCAUGCCACCAUUAUUUUUGUUACCUCCAACUUGAUUCUGAUUAUUCCCUCCACCACCACCUUUCUUUCCUCCAUUGCCAUUUCCACCAUUCAUGCCAUGAAUUUGAACCGGAACAGGCCCUCCACCACCAGGUUUCUGCCCGUUUCCGCCACCACCGCCGCCGUUAAAAUUGCCACCCUUCAUAGCAGUCAAAAGCUGUGGAUGAUUACCAUUCAACAUCAUGUGAGCACCAUUCCCCAUAGGCAUAGAAGGGGGUUUCAUCUUAUUAGGUGGCAACCCAACCAUUUCAUCAUCAAACUCAUCAUCAAAAUCUUCAUCAUCAUCUUCGUCGUCAUCAAAAUCAUCCAUUUCAUCAUCACUAAAAUCAUCCUCAUCUUCAGGCACAUCAAAUUUAACACCUUUAGCAUUCUGAUUCGGCGGCAUCUUCAUGCCUUUAAAUUGUGCUAGAUCUUGAAACCCUUUCAUCUGUUGAAGUUGUUGUAACUGUUGUUGAAGCUGAAGUUGCUGCUGCUGCUGAGGAUUUAGUCCUUGUAGUUGUAUUUGUUGACCACCUUUGGGCUGGUUAUUGUUUCCACUACCCUUCUGGUUUUGAUUCUGACCCUUGUUGUUGUUAUUUCCACCACCUUUGCCAUUAUCAAUUUGCAUGUUCUUUAACUGAUUAACAAGGUUGUUCUGAUUAUUAUUGUUGUUGUUGUUUGGUUUGGGAACACUCCAUAACUGAGCAUGUUUCCCAGAUUUUGCAAGCUUCUUGAUGAGAACAUUUGGGUCCACAUUCCCUGAAACUGUGACCUUCCCUUGUUCUGCAUCUAUCUCAGUUGUAAAUACUCCUGUCAUUACAAAACCCAUAUUCAACAUUUACUCUCAAAAUUAAGGCACUGUUUUGGAUAGUAAUAGUAAUAAUUGAAAGCUAUAAUUAAGGUUCUGUAAAUAAAUCACAAUAAUAUUAAGUGCAUACAAACAUACCAUCAAUUUUCUGUAAGAUUUUCUUUACUUUAUGUUUACAUCCAUCACAGUGUAUGUUCACUUUUAGAACAGAUUUCUGCAUAUAUACACAGAAAAUUAGGAUAAGUAAUAAAUAAUAUAUGAGACAAAACAAAAUUUAGAAAUGUACAAAACAUAAAAGCAAAAAAAAAAUAAAGAAAGAUGGAGAAUGUGAUGGGAGUGAGUACCUGUAUCUUCAAAAAUUCUUCUUUACUCAUGACCAAUAGGAAUAAAGUUUGUAACUUGUGAUAAAUAAAGAUCUGGGCUAUAGAGAAAAAUGGUGAUUAUAGAUCUGAGGAAACGAAAGGAAAAUGGAGUUUUUUUUCUUUCUUGUUUGGUGUAGUUUUAUUUGGUUUUAGAAUGGAAAUGAAAUGAAAAUAGAAGCAAAAUGAGAGAAAUAAAUAGUUUAGAAGAGUCUCUUUGAGAGUUAGGAAGAGAGAGAAUGGUGAGUAGUAGUAGUAGUCAUUGAGAGAGAAUGGGGUAAGUGUUCCAAGAGUUUGCUCUAUGUUUGGUGUCUUUAUUUAUUGAUGUAUUUUACUACACAAGUGAGUGACUUCACUGUGUAUACUAGUAUAAUUUUUUCAACAAUUUAACUCUAUUUUCCUUUUCUCUUUCUAUUUUUUUUUUUUUUUUUUUGUCUUAGCUUGACUUGAAGACUGUGAGGUGGAAAUGCUGAAAAAUCAUCAUAAAUCACAAUGAUGCAAGAGUGGAGGUGGAGAGAGACAGGAAGUGCUAGUAGUAAGUACAUCAUAUCUGAUGUGAGAUUUGUUUUCUUUAAAGUUCUAGUAAUUAUGAUGAUGAUCAGUGAAGUAAGAAUGAAGUAUAUGACUGAAUAAAAAGAAGAUACGACUCAAGAACACUUUUAUUUUUUCGGUUACUUUUUUUUUUGUCUUGUUUAAUCAUAAUUUUCUAAAUUAAAUUCAGUUUUAAUUUAUCACCGCUAAAGAAAUUUUAAAAAAACUUUGAAUAUGAUUAUUUUAUUUGACUCGAGGAUAAUCUGCUAACUAACACCCGAGUAACUUUAAGAUAGACACAAACUCAAAUAAAAAUUAUUUAGACAUAUAAAUAAAAUUUAUAAGAGUUCACAAAAAUAAAUUAAAAGACAAAUAAUUUAGACAUGUCAUUAAAUAUUUUUUCUCUUUUAAAUUUUAUCAUGUAUGUUUUCAAAUAAAAUUUAUCUAUAGUUGAGGCUAUGCAAGAGUUUUCUACGACACACAGAUGAUAUCACAUUUUAACACCAAAAGAGAAUGAGUAUGCAACUCCUAAGGAAGAAUAUUUUAACACCAAAAGAGAAUGAGUAUGCAACUCUUAAGGAAGAACAAUUAAAUGUAUUUUUUAUUAGGUCUUCAUAAAAGUUGCUUUUGAGUUAAUUGAUUUUGGUUAAAAAUCUGUUAAAAUAAAAUCAAUCAUCUUUAAAAUUAUUCAAAUAAAAAUGAGUUAAACAAUAAAUUUAAACAUCCUUUUCAAAAUAAGUAAAUUAAAUUUAAAUAUUAAAUUAAUUUUAGUAUUAAAAGCAUCAAUUUCUAAUUUUAAAUAAAACCAAUUUCAAAAACUAAAUUAUUUUUACUCAAGGGACUAAAUUGUAGCUUUUAACUUCUACAAUUGAUUUUAAUUUAAAAUUUAUUGUUAAAUUCAGUUUUACAAAACAUAUUCAAAAAUAAACCAUUUUACAUUCAACUCAUUUUUAUCAAAAAUCAAUUUUACAAAAUCAAUUCAUUCAAAAUUAAUUUUUGUAAAAACCCAACCAAACAUACACAUACAUAAUCACUUGUCCACUCUUGGAAUCAAUUUUAAGCCUUUUUUUUUUUUUGAAAGAAAAGAAAACUAAAAAAAAAGUGAGAUCAAGCGUGCACUAAAUUAAUAGUAGUAACAUCUAUUGAGGUUGUGGCUGACUUGUAAAUUUCUUAUUUUAGAACUGCUUUUUAGUACAUUGACAUCAGUUUUCUCUCAGAGAGUUGAAUUUACUUUACUUUUCCAUUUGUGCCUUGAGGCUUGAGCGAUGCCAGAAAAUUUAGUUGCAUCUAUCAACCCAGAAACUUUCUCAUUUUUAUGAUCCUUCUUUUCUGGCAUUUUUAUCUUCUAUUAAAUGAGGUAAACAUAAUGGUCCCCAAUUGAAUAAUUAGAUUGAAUUUUCCUUCUUCAUUUUGAAAGAAAAUAAUUUUUAUUCACAAAAAGAUAACAUAUAUUUUUUUAUAAGAAAACUGAUAUUUAUUGAUUUUACUAGCAGAUAGAUCAUUCAUUUAUUGUCGGUGCAAUCCAUUAUUAAAUUUACCUAACAAUGAGUCUUCUAUUUUUGGAAAACACCAGAAAUGCAUUACUACAAAACAUAAGAAAGAAGGGCUGCCUGGUCUUAUUCUUAUCUGAAAGACUAUCACACAUUUUUUUUCAAUUCCAGCUUGGGAGAUAAGCCAAACAUAAGUAAAUAACAUUUAAUUAUUGUGACGCACAUGGACACAAUUACGUGAGAUAUGCAUAGAAUUACUAACAUCUAUAUCUUCCAUAUUUUUAUUUCAUUAUAAAACUACUAUCUUUCUCUAACAUUUUUUUUAAAAAAAAUUAAUUAAAUUUUUAAAGUAUCAUUAUCUCUUCAGUUAAGUAAAUAUAGACUCUUCCGGGUAGUAUUGAGGAAAUGAAUCUAAUCAACAUUUGUCUUAUCGUAAAGGUGAGCAAACAUGAAUUUUUUAUCAAUGUCAACCUAUAUCCAUUUGUAAAGCGAAUUAUAAGAUUCUUACCAAGAUGAUGGUCAAUAGACAUAGACCCAAGACUUACAUUGCUCAAAUCACCUCUCAUAAAAAAACUGGUUUUGAACGAGGAGGAGUACAAGUGAGAAUAUUGUUAUGAAUUUUGCUCUUCACCCAGCGCAUUUUACUCGCGCUCUGCAACUGUUUUAAAUUUGUCCUUGCGCUAGUUAAUUCACGCAAGUGUAAAUGUAUGCGCUAGUUAACUAACACUGCGUAACUUAAAUAGCGCAAGUGAAAACACUGCGUGACUUAACUCACAUAGACAUUAGCACAUGCGUGAGAACUCACGGACAGUCUGUGCAUACAACCAGAAGAGGCAGAAACCUCUAUUUUCCCUAUUUUUUGCAAUCCUUCUUUCAUACAUUCAUUAAAGCAAACAUUUUUCAUCAUUCAUUCAAUCAAGCAUUAAGUCAUAAGUAUAUUACGAAAAAUAACAGAAUAAAACAACGGAAUAAAAUAACGAAUAAUGUCAUAAACGCUAAAAAGCGCAAGUGUUAUAGGAUUACAACCAAAUCCAACAAAAUGUGAAACAAAAAAAGCUACACAAGUCAUACUGGUCCAUCCCGUGGACUCCUACUCCUCCUCCGCAGAGCCAGCACCUGCUCCAGCAUGCUCCACUCAGACUGUAUGCCCUGCAUCAAGCGCAUAACCUCCUCUGGAUUAUGAAACAUAGCAGGAUGUCCCAUUGCAACGUCCACUCUGGCUCUGAUGUUGUUGAUGAUCUGGUAUGAGUCUGGAGGAUGUCUGGCCUACUGCUGCUCAACAAUAACCUCCUCGUAAGUAACUGCUGCGUGAGUUAACUCACGCUGCGCUACUUAAGUGGCACACAAAAUACAACGUGCGCAAGUUAAGACACGUUGCGUGACUUAACUUGCGCAUGGGUAAUUUAGACAACGCUGCAGGACGUGAGCGAAAAAUGCUGGGUGAAGAGCACCAUUCUAUUGUUAUCGCUUAGUAGAUUCUACAUAGUAUGGCUAAAAUGAAAAGCAAAAUUGUCUAUUUUGCAAUCAAAGGAGAUUCAAUUUGAAAUUCAAAUGGAUGUGAUUAGCAAGAACAAUUCCAGAUUUUUAUUUGUAUAUUGUUUUUUUAAUAUAGAUUUAUGACCUCAUCUUAUGUGUCCACAUUCUUGUUACUCCUAAUUAAUCAGUUUGUGCCCUCCAAUUCAAUUUAAUAAAAAAAACAUACAAUAAUUCUUGGAAAAUUGCUUUUAUGACUGCAAAUUCUUCCUAAUAACACAUAAAAGUUACUAAAUUACCCAGCGGCAGCUAACUAUCCCUUAUAAAAUCGCAGUAGUUAACUCCCGCUGAGGCCAACAGUAGUUAACUCACUUCGCGAUUUCCCCCCAAAAUCUGGACAUGCUACCUUCCCUAUUCACUCAUCACCUUACAUCACCUUACCUAAAAAAAUCACCCUUUUCAUAAAAAUUUCUUCAAACCAUUGUAGAUGGAUUGCAAGAAGGUUUUUACAUGCCUUGGCAUUUUUUUCCUAUUCUAAGUUUCAAUUUUGAAUCACAAAUUGUUUGUAGUUUCUUGCAUGCCUUGGCAACGAAGAAGAUGAUGAUGAUGAUAAUUCUGGUUUUCAUUUUUCUUGGUAGUUAACUGCUGAGGUUUUCUUCGGUAGUUAACUGCAGCCGGUUUUAUUUUUUCUCGGCACUUAACUACCGAGAGGUAUUUUCGUCUUUUACAUGUGUUUCUCAUCCAAACAACAUGUGUAUACAACAAUUCUCAUUUUCCAUCGGUAAAUUUCACCAGUAAAGAAUUUACUAUUAGACAGAAUCAUUAAGUCGGUAAUGAAAAUUCAAUUUUCUUUACAUGUUGGACUACCUCUCAAAUUGGAAAGUUUGUUUUUGAUUAAAGACAAAGUUUUGAAUAAGUAAAAUUAAAAACUCAACGAGGACAUGUUUAUGCACAAAAUAAAGUAUAUCGAAUUUUAAAAAAAAAAAAAAAACUCAACAAGGACAUGUUUAUGCAUAAAAUAAAGUAUCAAAAGUCUAAGAUUUAUUAAUCAAGAGUUCAAGUGGUUAACGAAAUUUCGGUUAAAGAUAAUUCGUUUUUAAUGAACCAUGCAUAAUUUAAAUCUUAAUCGAAAUAAUCAUUGAUUAGACAUGAAUAAUCUUUCAACAGAGUUUCAAACAAUCAGAGUCCAAUCAUCUGAGAUCUAGAGUUUGAUACAAAAUAAAAAUUGUAACGUUUAUUUACUCUAAAAAUCCCUUAUUUAUUUAAAUGUUUUUAUAUAAUUUCUUUACUAAAAAGUUUAUAAUGAAUUAUCAAACUUGCUAUCGAUCAUUUUUGGUUAGGCAUCUUACAAAAAAUAUUCAACAGAGUCCCUAAACUUUUAAGGGAACUUCUACGGUACACCCGUAAAUUAAGGUGUACCGGUACUCUCGCUUACAUUUUUAUAAAUUAACUAUCAUUUUUUAUGAAAGAAAUAGGUGUUUGUUGACAUAUAUAUUUUAGAAAAUAUCAUUUUAUAAUAAGAAAAAACAUCAUUUCAUUUGUUAGAAAAAUCAUAAUAAAUUUUUCUACAUUUUAUUGUAAAAAAUAAUCAAAAUUCUCUAUUAUGAAUAAUAGGAAUUCAGAAAAAUCAAAUUUUAUUGUGUUGACGUUUUUUGGUAAAUAAGAUUUAGUUAUUAUAAUUAUAGGUGAUAGAAAAUAUUUUUCUCCUAAAAAAAUAACUCAUUUAACUAUUAAUUUAAGGAUUUGGUGUACCAAUACAUUCAAAUUGUUGGAUGUACCAUAUAAUUUGCCAACUUUUAAAUCUAUGUUUAGUAUUAUGAUGAGUAUGUCAGAAUUACGACAACCCACCAUGAUUUUGCAGAAGUUACAAAAUGUAUCUUUUAAAAAAUCACGGUAAAUUGUUAUAAUACCAAACAUACACUAAAUAAAUUGUAACUGUAUCAUAUGUAUUGAAAGACCGUAGCGGAUAUCCUUAGAGACCCAUGCAUGCCACUGCACCACCAAGUUUUCUAUAAAUAUCAUGUAAGUCAUAUUAUUUUACAUAAUUUAUGGUUGAAAGUGGACGUGAGUUUGAUCCCCAUACCUUUUUUUUUAUAUUCAAUUACAUUAAUAAUAUUUUAUUCAAAAAAAUGUUCCUCUGAACUUGAACCGCCACCCCGCCAUGUUUCAAGCAAAUGAAACACUACACUACAUCCAUUGAUAAUUUUGCUAAUUUCUUCAAAUUCUUUAAUAAAUAUUUGACACCCUCAACAAAAGAACUCAAAAUUCAUCAUUGUUUAAUGACCUAAUAAAAAAUUAGUUAAAAAUUCAGUCACCAAUUAAAACCUGUUAAAAAAAUUAAGGAUUAAUACCUCUUUUCGUCCCUGUAAUAUUAACGAAGUUCGGUUUUAGUCUAUGUAAAAAAAAAGAUUUAGAUUUUGUCUCUGUAAUUUCAGAUUCUUUCAAUUUUGGUCCCUUAUUCCACCACGUCAGCAGAAUCUACAUACAUGGCACGUAAAAUGAGGGAGCAAAAGUGGAGGAAUUUGAAAUUAGAGAGACCAAAAGUGGGAGGAAUUUGAAAUUACAAGGACGUAAUUUAUGCAUAUUCUGCUAAGGUGAUGAAAGGAGGGACCAAAAGUGGAACAAUAUGAAAUUACAGGGACAAAAUCUAAAUCGUUUUUUUUAUCAGGAUUAAAACCGGAAUUCGCUAAUAUUACAGGGACGAAAAGAGGUAUUAAAAUUAAUUACAAAUUAUGGACAGGGUGAUGGAUUCAAAUUUCAAAUACAAGUUUUUCAUUGAUCAGAGAUUCAUUUGAAAAUCUCCAAGCAUUUAGACUCUCAGAAAAGCAGCUAAACCUAAAUAAAUAAUAAUACAGAGUGUCCCUUGUUGAUACAUUGUUAUCAACAAACUAAGGAAAUAUUCUGUGGUAAAAGAGUUUUGUCACGAUUUAUCACUAGAGGGGCCCUCACCCUAAUGGAAGACAGUUAUGUAGUAUGUUAUUACAGAAGAGGAAAAAAUUAAUUACAAGUUAUUUUUUUAUCCAAGAAAAAGUGAAAACAUCCUUGUAUGGAAUACCGUGUGACUGCCAGAAAUUAUGGGGGUGUUUUUUCUGUGUUUGUACCAAACUUGUGUGAAAUGAAAAUGGAUUUGAUGUAGCUUGACACAUUUUUUAUGGUUUUCAAAAGGAAAAGUAGAGACAUAGGUCAUUUUUUUCAACUUAAUAAUAAUGCUUUUGGUGAUUAAAUCAUGCAUGCCCUACUUUAACAGCAAAAUUAGGUAAAGGAAAGCAACAAAAAACUAGCUAGCAUAGCCCUCUGGAUACACUGAUGAAUCACGUUCAAGGUUUCUUGUUUUUUUCUUUGUUUUGUUUACCUUAAGAUUUAUUUUCCCAAGCAAAUUAUUGUUUCCAUUCUUUAAAGCCUAAACCGUGAUCAAGUAAGUUGUCCUUUCUAUUUUUCUUUCUCCUUUAUCUCUUUCAACAUGUCACUUUACCCGUCAAAGGCUAUUUGAACGGUGGUUACAAUUAAAGAAACCAUGCACAAAAUUAAAAAUUGUUUUCCGUCUAAACAAAGAGACUUAAAAAUUGGUUUUCCGUCUAAACAAAGAGACCUUAGGCUAAAUUUUAUUAAUUAUACUAACAACGCAUGGUGUUUUUUUUUUGGUUAUGUAGUGCCGAUUGUGCACAUUUUAAUAAUAAUUUUUUUUUGAACAAUUGAUAAUGAUUCAAUUCACAUUCCACAAUAGUACAAAUUCAAUAUUGACCUGAGAACCUCUUUGAUUAAAAUAACAUACAGUAAGUAAUUUUAUCAACGCUUUUUAGGUUCUUCUAUUUCUGCGAGUUUUCAAGACCUAACUCACAUGAUUAAUAAGUAGAAUUUGGCUGAAUUUAUCUUAAAAUGUAAAAGUUUCUGUUUUAUGGCUAAGGUAGUAUGGUGGAUCUUUUGUGGACUUUUUCGGACCUCAAAUGCCACCAAAUCCGAAUUAAAGGGAAAAAGAACAAUAAUAUUUAAUAUAUUAUACUAGUAUAUGAUUGUGACUAGCACAGCUGUGAUGUCAUAAAUUUUAUAAGAGUGAAAAAAUGAUGGGCAAAUUUUUUGUGUGAGUUUAAUAGACUACCUAUAUUUAGAAUAUGAUAUUUACAAAUUUCUGUCACUAAGGUUCUAAUGUGGAAUGACUUGGGAAGCCAUGCAAAACCCACUUCCAUAUAUGUUGAAGGCUUCACAUGAUGAACCACAUGGUGUUUGGACAUGGACAGUGAUUGAUUAUUAGAGAAUAUGAAUGAAUUUGCACAAUGAAGUAAGUGGGGUUGGGGAGGGAGUAUUUAUUGAGUCUCACCUAGAAGAGUACAAUUUCAGUUGCAGUUUGCAUCUCACACAUGCUUUCUUUUUUCUAUAUAGCUUUUGAUUUUUGUAUGGUAAGGGAAAUUAAUAAUGGAGUGUAGGUGGUGAGAAGUUUUGACCACAAGGGAAAGUUUUGAUUCUUACAGUACCGUUUAACUUUAACUUUUCGUUCUAUUUAUUUACUUAGUAGGAAUUUUCAUCUAAUCAAGAUUUUCCGCAUUCACGCAUUUGAGAUACGGUAACCGAUCGAUUAACAUUUGAUUGUUUAAAAAUAUGUAAAUUUAAUUUUUCUUUUUUAGUUUAAUAUAGGGAAAUGCUAACCAUUGUUUUUGGAGCAUUUGAUUAAAGUACUAAAAUAAGUAAGUUUGCAUCGAAAAAUGGUGUAAUCCUUUUUAUUAAAGAUUUGUAUUUUCAAGAUAAAGUUUCUAUUAAUGAAAUCCUUAACAAUUGCACUUAAGAUACUAGUUAGCAAAAUCCUUUAAAAUAAAGAGUUUAAAUUUGAACCUUCUUAUCUUUAUCAUGAUCAUAUUACUAUUGAUGUUCAGAAUAUAUGAAUGUAAAAAAUCUCUAAGAGCAAGGAAUCAAAAUUCACUUGGGAGUUGACGUGGUCAUGCAUGAUGCAUACGCACUUUAAUGACCAUCAUUAUUCCAAACAUUUAACUUCAGACAUUACAAUAGAAAGCAAGGGAGAAAAAAAAAAAAGGUAGCAUGCAAUUGAAUUUGAAGGACACAUGAAAUCUUCAAGAUGCCUCAAUUGUUUUCCUUUGUAUAUUCUGGCAUUUUGUUUUUGGUUCUUUCGUUGUAAAAGAUACUAGAAUAUUUUGGAGUCGGUGUGUUGAAAUUGUAGGAAGUUUUUAGUAUUUAACUUUGAUUGAUACGGUGGUAGUACCUUACCCUUCUUCUUGGUUUUACAACUUUUCUCUUUUGCUGGACUAAAAUAAAAGGUUUAUACUUUGUCUCAUGUGAUAUUUAAUACUAGCUUGUUCUAGGAGAGCAUGUGCUUUUACAAAGAAAAUGGUCUUCAAUUUGACAAAAAUAAUUCUUGUACAAUAAGAGUACCAUGUUAUGUACCAUAAUUCUACAUGUGAUUUUCAAGUAUAAACAAAUAAUUCUUUUAAAGAUGAAGAAUUAGCAGAAAAUUUGGACAGAAGACUAUCUAAUAUAAAUUAAUUAAUUGGAUACAUACAUGAUCUUAAUUUGUGUUCUAAACUCUAAUUUUGAUCAGAACAAAAUAAGAGGCAACUACAUUAUCAUUGCAAGUGUGAUAAUUUUCCAUAAUGUCAAUGAUGGCAGAUAUUACGCAAUGAUAAUCACGAUGACAUUUUUUUUUUAACAAAAUAAGAGACAACUACCAACAAUAGAUCGGUUCAAACGGUAAGGGGUUUAAACUUCUUAAGCACGUGGUUAGGUUCAAUUUCUAAUUCAUACAUACGAAAAAAAAUAAAAUUUGAAGAAGAGAACAUAUAACGUGUCCCAUAUGUUCUCAACAAAAUUAACCAUUAUUAAACUACAGUGAAAACUUUGUAAAAAUACCACGUUAAAAAAAAAAAAACUACUAAGAUUUAAGCUUGGGUUUCAUGUUAUCUUCACCCCAUAAUUAACCUUGAGUGGUUUGCCAUUGAUUACUAUAAGAGACAGACUUGUAGUGCCAUAUAAAUCACCUUUACUAUGGUGAUUUGAUGAAGUAAAUUGCAAGAAAGGCCGUUUACCAAGCAAUAAUGAGAACUUCUGCCAUUAAUUAAAAUAUAAUAGCCACAGCCGUAAAUACACGACAAUGUUUGUCGUGUAAUUUGCACGAACAUGUUUGUAACUAUCAUUUGCUAUCUUUUUUUAAUUUGGAUUCAAUAUAAAAUGAUAAAUUUUGCUUGUGCUGUAUAUUUUCUAUGAGAAAUCAUAAAAACAUCUUAUUUGGUGGUCUAAACACGCGUCUUACCUCACCAUUGCUUUGGUAACAUUGUUUUUUAAUUCAUAAUAUUGGAAGUGGGUUAUGUAUAUCAGUUAUUGCUUAACAUUGUUUUUUAAUAUACUACUAUAUACAAAAGCAUCAAUAACCAAAAAGAAAUCCAUUUAUAAAGUGAAUUAAGUGUUGUUCAACAUGUUGUGUGGCUUUCGUGUGUUGAUUUUGUCGUGCUGUAUAGCAGCGCUUUUAAAUAUAAUAGCCACAACCAUAAAUUUUCUUCCAAUGCCCAAAUAUUCGUUUGUUAUCAUUUUCUAAAUUGAGUGUCACAUGGGUAGGAUUUGUGAAAACCAAGGAUUUUUUUAGGACAAUUGCUUAGGUGAGUGUCACAUGUCAUAUACAAUACAACGAUGGUUGAAAAUCGUUCAAAACUUCGACAAUAAAUAAUGUCAUCGCUUUAAGUAGAAGUUCAUGCUCAUAUGUUACAAGUUAUAGCUUAGAGAGUAACUUUAUUGGUGUUGAUUCAAUUAAAAAAAGAGAGAAAAUAAAUACAAAUUGAGUUUUGAAACACUAAUAUUCGUUUUUUUUUGUCUUUUCUCCGGAAGUGUCAUUGAUGGGUUGUCAUUCUAGUUGUAAAGAAGAGUAAUACCAUGAAUUUUUACUUUGAGGGGAGCGCAACGAUCAUUAUUAGAAUUUCGAACGAUUUUCAAAUAUUGAAACAUUGUAAAUUAUAUAAGAUGCUUCCCCCCAACUUGAAGCCGCAUUUUUUGAUUUAGAAAAUCCUUCUCAACUUAUUAAAGCCAUGCCUCCUCGCGUCCUUGUUUGCUGCUUUUUUAGUAGGACUCCGGAGUUUACAAGUCGCACACUACACAUCAACUACUUGCGUUUAUACCCCUCGUUAACAGUUGAACAAAUGAAUUAUUGGUACAAUUUUUCUCCCUGCAAAAGUAUUCAAUUACCACUUCUCGCUUGCCUAUUUAGCAAUCAGUGUAAAGUUAUGAAAAAUAAGCAGUUGUUUUAUGCUAAUUAGAAACAAAACUAUGCAAUUCAGACUUCCAAAUAUUUCAGCAAUUGAAUACUCAGAGAUACAAGUUAAGCUUGUUCGUUCAUUCAUGUUUUAAUAAUCCAUGAGGAAUAAAUUAUUGCUACACCUCAGCAGUUGCAAACUGAAUUGAUGAAAGCCUAUACAGAAAAUCCAAUUUUGAAGUAAAGUGCAGAUAAAAAAGACUUAUCAGUAUCACCUAUGAUUUACUUCUACAUUGGUUCAAAAGUUAAUGUCUUAAAACAUCUUCAAGCUUCGAAGAUUCUGAUUUUGUACCAACAUAAACUGUAUUAGGUAACCAUCUUUCUUUUUAUUAGUGAAAAGAAGAUAAAGAACAUCCAACACCUAAAAUCUUUACUUUUUUCUUUAUAUCAUUUCACACUCAUUGAUAAACCAAUGCUUUCAUCAAAGUCAUUUAACAUGACAUUGACAAGUUUUAAAAUUUGAACUACUAAAAAUGUGAAAAGCAUAAAGGAAGGAGCAAGAAUGUUGAACACCAUAGCUUUAUAUAUAUAUAUGAUUAAAUUUUGAUUAAAGCUAUGAUAAUUUUCAAACACAAAUCUUUAGAGGAACCUUCACCCUCAAGAUACACUACAGAGAGGUUUUCUAGUGGCCAAACCAGAUCUACAAUGCAAUUGAUCCUCUCUUAAACACGACUCACAGACAAAAACACAACAAAAUAUUCACCUGUACAAUAUAGAUGAGCAGGAGUAACAUUCAACAGGAAAACCACAUAGAAUCUAAUUUUAU
This 30761-nucleotide long non-coding RNA is filed under the name Medicago truncatula (barrel medic). RNAcentral's name for it is "long non-coding RNA (MTRU_LNC002483)". The record is from RNAcentral. Lineage: Eukaryota; Viridiplantae; Streptophyta; Magnoliopsida; Fabales; Fabaceae.